This is a non-coding RNA of Myotis lucifugus (little brown bat), 101 nucleotides long. Lineage: Eukaryota; Metazoa; Chordata; Mammalia; Chiroptera; Vespertilionidae. The record is from Rfam.
GAGCUGGCUUUAGCUCAGCAGUUCCUUCGAGUCAAGCCAGUUUGCCUGUUAAUCACUCUUGCUUGCAAAUUUGAGACCUGAGGGCACUCUCCAAUCCUUAA